This 253-nucleotide ribosomal RNA is filed under the name uncultured bacterium. Its description in RNAcentral is "partial 16S ribosomal RNA". It matches the Rfam family "Bacterial small subunit ribosomal RNA", at positions 524 to 776 of the family's 1533-position model. The record is from RNAcentral.
UACGUAGGGCGCAAGCGUUGUCCGGAAUUAUUGGGCGUAAAGAGCUCGUAGGUGGCUUGUUGCGUCUGCCGUGAAAGCCCGUGGCUUUACUACGGGUCUGCGGUGGAUACGGGCAGGCUAGAGGCUGGUAGGGGCAAGCGGAAUUCCUGGUGUAGCGGUGAAAUGCGCAGAUAUCAGGAGGAACACCGGUGGCGAAGGCGGCUUGCUGGGCCAGUUCUGACGCUGAGGAGCGAAAGCGUGGGGAGCGAACAGG